This 374-nucleotide ribosomal RNA is filed under the name uncultured organism. RNAcentral's name for it is "partial 16S ribosomal RNA". It matches the Rfam family "Bacterial small subunit ribosomal RNA", at positions 527 to 896 of the family's 1533-position model. The record is from RNAcentral.
GUAGGUGGCAAGCGUUGUCCGGAGUUAUUGGGCGUAAAGCGCGCGCAGGCGGUUUUUUAAGUCUGAUGUGAAAGCCCACGGCUCAACCGUGGAGGGUCAUUGGAAACUGGAGAACUUGAGUACAGAAGAGGAAAGCGGAAUUCCACGUGUAGCGGUGAAAUGCGUAGAGAUGUGGAGGAACACCAGUGGCGAAGGCGGCUUUCUGGUCUGUAACUGACGCUGAGGCGCGAAAGCGUGGGGAGCAAACAGGGAUUAGAUACCCUGGUAGUCCACGCCGUAAACGAUGAGUGCUAAGUGUUAGGGGGGUUUCCGCCCCCUUAGUGCUGCAGCUAACGCAUUAAGCACUCCGCCUGGGGAGUACGGCCGCAAGGCUG